RNAcentral lists this ribosomal RNA (930 nucleotides) under Heterosigma akashiwo. RNAcentral describes it as "partial Bacterial large subunit ribosomal RNA". It matches the Rfam family "Bacterial large subunit ribosomal RNA", at positions 671 to 1700 of the family's 2925-position model. Lineage: Eukaryota; Raphidophyceae; Chattonellales; Chattonellaceae. The record is from RNAcentral.
GCGAAAGCGAGUCUUAAUAGGGCGAAUGAGUUGGAUGGAUCAGACCCGAAACCGAGUGAUCUAGGCAUGGCCAGGUUGAAGACAAGGUAACACUUGUUGGAGGACCGAACCCACAUCCGUUGAAAAGGAUCGGGAUGAGCUGUGCCUAGGGGUGAAAGGCCAAUCAAACUCGGAGAUAGCUGGUUCUCUGCGAAAUCUAUUUAGGUAGAGCGUCAUCCGAAUACCCCGGGGGGUAGAGCACUGGAUGGGUAAUGGGGCCCCACAGGCUUACUGAUCCUAACCAAACUCCGAAUACCCGGGAGUACUAGAUGGCAGACACACUGCGGAUGCUAACGUCCGUAGUGGAGAGGGAAACAACCCUGACCUACAGCUAAGGCCCCCAAUUCAUGGCUAAGUGGGAAAGCAGGUGGGACGACCAAAACAACCAGGAGGUUGGCUUAGAAGCAGCCAUCCUUUAAAGAUAGCGUAACAGCUCACUGGUCUAAACAAGUUGUCCUGCGGCGAAGAUGUAACGGGGCUAAAGUAAUGCACCGAAGCUUAGGGUUCAGAAUUUAUUCUGAGCGGUAGCGGAGCGUUCCGUAAGCGGAUGAAGCCGAAGGGUAACCGACGGUGGACGUAUCGGAAGUGCGAAUGCUGACAUGAGUAGCGACAAACAGUGUGAGAUGCACUGUCGCCGAAAGCCCAAGGGUUCCUGCUUAAAGCUAAUCUGAGCAGGGUAAGCCGGCCCCUAAGCCGAGGCCGAAAGGCGUAGGCGAUGGGAACCACGUUAAUAUUCGUGGGCCAGAUGGAAGUGACGGAUCUCGAAGAUUGUUCCUCCUUAUCGGAUUGGAGGGGCCGUUCAGAGGUUCCUGGAAAUAGCUCCAUCAUCAGACCGUACCCUAAACCGACACAGGUGGACUGGUAGAGAAUACCAAGGCGCUUGAGAGAACG